GCAUCGGUUCCGCGCGACGUUUUCCCGCCAACCCCGCCAGGUCCGGAAGGAAGCAACGGUAACGGGCUCUUUCGUGUGCAGUGGAGCGCCGGUGCCUG
Molecule: signal recognition particle RNA, 98 nt
Filed under: Terriglobia bacterium
Lineage: Bacteria; Pseudomonadati; Acidobacteriota; Terriglobia
Also listed under: 1 other name
Description: signal recognition particle sRNA small type
Rfam family: Bacterial small signal recognition particle RNA
About the family: The signal recognition particle (SRP) is a universally conserved ribonucleoprotein involved in the co-translational targeting of proteins to membranes. Archaeal SRP consists of a 7S RNA and homologues of the eukaryotic SRP19 and SRP54 proteins.
Source: RNAcentral